This 301-nucleotide ribosomal RNA is filed under the name uncultured bacterium. Its description in RNAcentral is "partial 16S ribosomal RNA". It matches the Rfam family "Bacterial small subunit ribosomal RNA", at positions 509 to 807 of the family's 1533-position model. The record is from RNAcentral.
CAGUAGCCGCGGUAAUACGGAGGGUGCAAGCGUUAAUCGGAAUUACUGGGCGUAAAGCGCACGCAGGCGGUCUGACAAGUCAGAUGUGAAAUCCCCGGGCUUAACCUGGGAACUGCAUUUGAAACUGUCAGGCUGGAGUCUUGUAGAGGGGGGUAGAAUUCCAGGUGUAGCGGUGAAAUGCGUAGAGAUCUGGAGGAAUACCAAUGGCGAAGGCAGCCCCCUGGGAUAACACUGACGCUCAUGCACGAAAGCGUGGGGAGCAAACAGGAUUAGAUACCCCAGUAGUCCCUGUCUCUUAUAC